This 653-nucleotide ribosomal RNA is filed under the name uncultured bacterium. RNAcentral describes it as "bacterial SSU rRNA". It matches the Rfam family "Bacterial small subunit ribosomal RNA", at positions 139 to 788 of the family's 1533-position model. The record is from RNAcentral.
GGGGAUAACUACUGGAAACGGUAGCUAAUACCGCAUAACGUCGCAAGACCAAAGAGGGGGACUUCGGGCCUCUUGCCAUCGGAUGUGCCCAGAUGGGAUUAGCUUGUUGGUGGGGUAACGGCUCACCAAGGCGACGAUCCCUAGCUGGUCUGAGAGGAUGACCAGCCACACUGGAACUGAGACACGGUCCAGACUCCUACGGGAGGCAGCAGUGGGGAAUAUUGCACAAUGGGCGCAAGCCUGAUGCAGCCAUGCCGCGUGUAUGAAGAAGGCCUUCGGGUUGUAAAGUACUUUCAGCGGGGAGGAAGGGAGUAAAGUUAAUACCUUUACUCAUUGACGUUACCCGCAGAAGAAGCACCGGCUAACUCCGUGCCAGCAGCCGCGGUAAUACGGAGGGUGCAAGCGUUAAUCGGAAUUACUGGGCGUAAAGCGCACGCAGGCGGUUUGUUAAGUCAGAUGUGAAAUCCCCGGGCUCAACCUGGGAACUGCAUCUGAUACUGGCAAGCUUGAGUCUCGUAGAGGGGGGUAGAAUUCCAGGUGUAGCGGUGAAAUGCGUAGAGAUCUGGAGGAAUACCGGUGGCGAAGGCGGCCCCCUGGACGAAGACUGACGCUCAGGUGCGAAAGCGUGGGGAGCAAACAGGAUUAGAUACCCU